This 74-nucleotide transfer RNA is filed under the name Gammaproteobacteria bacterium. Its description in RNAcentral is "tRNA-Val". It matches the Rfam family "tRNA". Rfam says of the family: Transfer RNA (tRNA) molecules are approximately 80 nucleotides in length. Lineage: Bacteria; Pseudomonadati; Pseudomonadota; Gammaproteobacteria. The record is from RNAcentral.
AGGCGCGUAGCUCAGCUGGUUAGAGUGCUUGCUCGACACGCAAGAAGUCGGCGGUUCAAGUCCGCCCGCGCCUA